AGAGUUUGAUUCUGGCUCAGGACUAACGCUGGCAGCGUGCCUUACACAUGCAAGUCGGACGGAGAGAAAGUAGUUACUUGUAACUGCUUGAUCUUAGUGGCAAACGGGUGAGUAAUAGAUAGGUUAUCUACCACGAAGACGGGGAUACUCCCAUGAAAAUGGGAACAAUACCCGAUAAUAUCUACGGAAGAAAGGCGCGUUUGCGCCACUUUGUGACGAGCCUAUCUCCCAUCAGCUUGUUGGAGGGGUAACGGCCCACCAAGGCGAUGACGGGUAGCUGGUCUGAGAGGAUGAUCAGCCACACUGGAACUGAGAUACGGUCCAGACUCCUACGGGAGGCAGCAGUGGGGAAUUUUGGGCAAUGGGCGAAAGCCUGACCCAGCGACGCUGCGUGGACGAAGACGGUCUUUGGAUUGUAAAGUCCUUUUGUCGGGGAGUAAGAGUAAGCCGAGGAAAUGCGGUUUGCUUUGCAAGUACCCGGCGAAUAAGCCCUAGCUAACUACGUGCCAGCAGCUGCGGUAAUACGUAGAGGGCAAGCGUUGUCCGGAAUCACUGGGUGUAAAGGGUGUGCAGGCGUUUCUGUAAGUGAAUUGUGAAAUCCCAGAGCUCAACUCUGGAACUGCAGUUCAUACUGCGGAAAUCGAGGUCAUGAGAGGAAAAUAGAAUUCCCGGUGUAGCGGUGAAAUGCGUAGAUAUCGGGAGGAAUACCAAUGGCGAAGGCAGUUUUCUGGCAUGAAUCUGACGCUCAUACACGAAGGCUAGGGGAGCAAACAGGAUUAGAUACCCUGGUAGUCCUAGCAGUAAACGAUGGAUAUUAGGUGUCGGGAAGGACUUCUUCUCGGUGCCGUAGCUAACGCGUUAAAUAUCCCACCUGGAAAGUACGGCCGCAAGGUUGAAACUCAAAGAAAUUGACGGGGGCCCGCACAAGCAGCGAGGCAUGUGGUUUAAUUCGAGGCUACACGAAGAACCUUACCUGGAUUUGACAUGUUUAUGAACGGUCUGCGAAAUCAGAUCUUCUAUUCCCUUCGGGGAGUAGCAUUUUCACAGGUGGUGCAUGGUUGUCGUCAGCUCGUGCCGUGAGGUGUAAGGUUAAGUCCUUAAACGAGCGCAACCCACUUCACUAUUUGCCACCGGACUUUGUCCGAGCUACUAUAGUGAUACCGCCGGCGACGAGCCGGAGGAAGGAGUGGACGACGUCAAAUCAUCAUGCCCCUUAUGUCCAGGGCUACACACAUGCGACAAUGGUUGGUACAAUGGGUUGCGAUACAGCAAUGUGGAGCCAAUCCCGUAAAACCAGCCCCAGUACGGAUCGAGGACUGCAACUCGUCCUCGUGAAGAUGGAGUUGCUAGUAAACGCAGGUCAGCUAUACUGCGUUGAAUACGUUCCCGGGCCUUGUACACACCGCCCGUCACACCACUCAAGUGGGUUGUACCCGAAAACACAUACCCGAAUCCUUGCGAUAGGGCGUGUUGAAGGUGUGAUUCAUGAGAAGGGUGAAGUCGUAACAAGGCAGGUGUACGAGAACGUGCGCCUG
This 1535-nucleotide ribosomal RNA is filed under the name marine sediment metagenome. Its description in RNAcentral is "bacterial SSU rRNA". It matches the Rfam family "Bacterial small subunit ribosomal RNA". The record is from RNAcentral.